RNAcentral lists this ribosomal RNA (217 nucleotides) under uncultured bacterium. RNAcentral describes it as "partial 16S ribosomal RNA". It matches the Rfam family "Bacterial small subunit ribosomal RNA", at positions 1285 to 1500 of the family's 1533-position model. The record is from RNAcentral.
UACUCAGUUCGGAUUGCAGGCUGCAACUCGCCUGUAUGAAGUCGGAAUUGCUAGUAAUCGCGGAUCAGCAUGCCGCGGUGAAUACGUUCCCGGGCCUUGUACACACCGCCCGUCACAUCAUGGGAGUCGGGAAUGCCCGAAGCCAGUGACCCAAGCGAGAGCAGGGAGCUGUCGAAGGCAGGCCGGAUAACGUGGGGUGAAGUCGUAACAAGGUACC